ACGCUGGCGGCGUGCCUAAUACAUGCAAGUCGAACGGUCUUUUCUAUGGAAGCUUGCUUCCACUGAGAAGAUAGUGGCGAACGGGUGAGUAACACGUGGGUAACCUGCCCAUAAGAGGGGGAUAACAUCCGGAAACGGGUGCUAAUACCGCAUAGUUUUCUUGAUCGCAUGAUUGAGAAAGGAAAGACGGCCUUUGUGCUGUCGCUUAUGGAUGGACCCGCGGCGUAUUAGUUAGUUGGUGAGGUAACGGCUCACCAAGACGAUGAUACGUAGCCGACCUGAGAGGGUGAUCGGCCACAUUGGGACUGAGACAUGGCCCAAACUCCUACGGGAGGCAGCAGUAGGGAAUCUUCCGCAAUGGACGAAAGUCUGACGGAGCAACGCCGCGUGAGUGAAGAAAGGUUUUCGGAUCGUAAAACUCUGUUGUCAGAGAAGAACAAGUUGGAGAGUAACUGCUCCAGCCUUGACGGUAUCUGACCAGAAAGCCACGGCUAACUACGUGCCAGCCGCAGC
This 513-nucleotide ribosomal RNA is filed under the name uncultured bacterium. RNAcentral's name for it is "bacterial SSU rRNA". It matches the Rfam family "Bacterial small subunit ribosomal RNA", at positions 33 to 518 of the family's 1533-position model. The record is from RNAcentral.